This 27-nucleotide non-coding RNA is filed under the name Mus musculus (house mouse). The record is from RNAcentral. Lineage: Eukaryota; Metazoa; Chordata; Mammalia; Rodentia; Muridae.
UUCCUCCCGUGGAUGCUGUCACGACCC